AUUGAACGCUGGCGGCAGGCCUAACACAUGCAAGUCGAGCGGAUGAAGGGAGCUUGCUCCUGGAUUCAGCGGCGGACGGGUGAGUAAUGCCUAGGAAUCUGCCUGGUAGUGGGGGAUAACGUCCGGAAACGGGCGCUAAUACCGCAUACGUCCUGAGGGAGAAAGUGGGGGAUCUUCGGACCUCACGCUAUCAGAUGAGCCUAGGUCGGAUUAGCUAGUUGGUGGGGUAAAGGCCUACCAAGGCGACGAUCCGUAACUGGUCUGAGAGGAUGGUCAGUCACACUGGAACUGAGACACGGUCCAGACUCCUACGGGAGGCAGCAGUGGGGAAUAUUGGACAAUGGGCGAAAGCCUGAUCCAGCCAUGCCGCGUGUGUGAAGAAGGUAUUCGGAUUGUAAAGCACUUUAAGUUGGGAGGAAGGGCAGUAAGUUAAUACCUUGCUGUUUUGACGUUACCAACAGAAUAAGCACCGGCUAACUUCGUG
Molecule: ribosomal RNA, 484 nt
Filed under: uncultured bacterium
Lineage: Bacteria
Description: partial 16S ribosomal RNA
Rfam family: Bacterial small subunit ribosomal RNA
Source: RNAcentral